CAACUAUAAAGAGGCAGAGAAAGAAGGCUGCUGGUGUUCAGGAGACAGGAAUGCUAAUUUUUGCUUCACCCUGAGUUUUGUGGUACAAGUUGGAGCAAGAUGCAGAUGUCUUUCCUGUUUUUCCUGUUAAAAAGUGUGUGUCCCCAGGAAUUUAAUUUUAUUUACUGUCAGAUGGACAGAUUCUUCAGCUGAAACAUCACCUUAGGGCCCAGACCUGUGUCUGUUCAUUGAUCUUCAGCUCCCAUACAAGGAUAAAACCAGAAGAAUAGAUGCUUUUUGAAUAGAAGUCUUCAGCAUCCACAGAGGACUUGUGAAGACCUCAGCAAAACCUGGCAUUUCCAUUUCCCACCCGCACUGUGGCUAAUUUGCAGUGACACCUAAUUACAUCAAGGAACCCCAAAGAGAAGAGCUCAACCUCCACCUUGGAAGCAGCAUCCUCCUUGGCACCCUUGCCUUCCCUAUACUGCUCAUCCAUACUGAAGUCAGGCAAUGAAGACAAGAACAAGUGGAGACCCAGGUCAAGGUAAGUCAGAGGUGAUCAAUCCUUCUCUUUGUGCUUGUGGAAUAAAAAUUUGAA
Long non-coding RNA from Cyanistes caeruleus (blue tit), 577 nucleotides. RefSeq lists it as uncharacterized. NCBI's taxonomy places the organism in Eukaryota, Metazoa, Chordata, Aves, Passeriformes, Paridae. The record is from RefSeq and is a predicted model, not a curated record.